This 673-nucleotide ribosomal RNA is filed under the name Micrococcus luteus. RNAcentral's name for it is "bacterial SSU rRNA". It matches the Rfam family "Bacterial small subunit ribosomal RNA", at positions 80 to 767 of the family's 1533-position model. The record is from RNAcentral. Lineage: Bacteria; Bacillati; Actinomycetota; Actinomycetes; Micrococcales; Micrococcaceae.
UUGCUGGGUGGAUUAGUGGCGAACGGGUGAGUAACACGUGAGUAACCUGCCCUUAACUCUGGGAUAAGCCUGGGAAACUGGGUCUAAUACCGGAUAGGAGCACCUACCGCAUGGUGGGUGUUGGAAAGAUUUAUCGGUUUUGGAUGGACUCGCGGCCUAUCAGCUUGUUGGUGAGGUAAUGGCUCACCAAGGCGACGACGGGUAGCCGGCCUGAGAGGGUGACCGGCCACACUGGGACUGAGACACGGCCCAGACUCCUACGGGAGGCAGCAGUGGGGAAUAUUGCACAAUGGGCGCAAGCCUGAUGCAGCGACGCCGCGUGAGGGAUGACGGCCUUCGGGUUGUAAACCUCUUUCAGUAGGGAAGAAGCGAAAGUGACGGUACCUGCAGAAGAAGCACCGGCUAACUACGUGCCAGCAGCCGCGGUAAUACGUAGGGUGCGAGCGUUAUCCGGAAUUAUUGGGCGUAAAGAGCUCGUAGGCGGUUUGUCGCGUCUGUCGUGAAAGUCCGGGGCUUAACCCCGGAUCUGCGGUGGGUACGGGCAGACUAGAGUGCAGUAGGGGAGACUGGAAUUCCUGGUGUAGCGGUGGAAUGCGCAGAUAUCAGGAGGAACACCGAUGGCGAAGGCAUGUCUCUGGGCUGUAACUGACGCUGAGGAGCGAAAGCAUGGGGG